GGGGGUGCACUGGCUUCGACGGGGGUCGCGAAAUCGCCUGGCGCAUGCCGAGGGGGUAGCUUUCCUCGUUAAUCCAGCUGCAAAACUCUAGUUGCCAACGACGACAACUACGCUCUCGCCGCUUAAGGCGUAAGCCCCGAACCGACUUGUGUCCGUGCUCGUCGGUGUAGGGUCACUAUCACGGAAUCGAUCGCGGCGGCGACCCGCCAACCGCGGUUCAACCUUAGCGGGUAUGUGCCUGGGUGUGCUUUGCGCGCCGUGUUGCCCAGGCACGAGAACUAACGGCGCGCUAAGCAUGUAGUGCCGGGGAUGGAGUGCCUUCGGACGGCGGUUCGAUUCCGCCCACCUCCACCA
Molecule: transfer-messenger RNA, 354 nt
Filed under: Lysobacteraceae
Lineage: Bacteria; Pseudomonadati; Pseudomonadota; Gammaproteobacteria; Lysobacterales
Also listed under: 1 other name
Description: Luteimonas_C gilva Standard tmRNA
Rfam family: transfer-messenger RNA
About the family: Bacterial tmRNA, also known as 10Sa RNA or SsrA, is named for its dual tRNA and mRNA-like properties. Its role is to liberate the mRNA from a stalled ribosome.
Source: RNAcentral